This 400-nucleotide ribosomal RNA is filed under the name uncultured bacterium. RNAcentral's name for it is "bacterial SSU rRNA". It matches the Rfam family "Bacterial small subunit ribosomal RNA", at positions 357 to 774 of the family's 1533-position model. The record is from RNAcentral.
GGGAAUAUUGCACAAUGGGGGAAACCCUGAUGCAGCAACGCCGCGUGAGUGAUGACGGCCUUCGGGUUGUAAAGCUCUGUCUUCAGGGACGAUAAUGACGGUACCUGAGGAGGAAGCCACGGCUAACUACGUGCCAGCAGCCGCGGUAAUACGUAGGUGGCAAGCGUUGUCCGGAUUUACUGGGCGUAAAGGGAGCGUAGGCGGACUUUUAAGUGAGAUGUGAAAUACCCGGGCUCAACCUGGGUGCUGCAUUUCAAACUGGAAGUCUAGAGUGCAGGAGAGGAGAGUGGAAUUCCUAGUGUAGCGGUGAAAUGCGUAGAGAUUAGGAAGAACACCAGUGGCGAAGGCGACUCUCUGGACUGUAACUGACGCUGAGGCUCGAAAGCGUGGGGAGCAAACA